AUUUGGACAGCUGGUGCAAAGCAUGCUGGAAUUGGGCUGCCUUUAAUGAAACGUUGCGUUUCAGCUACUAUUUUGGGGGUCUCAGUUCCAGCAACUCAUUUGAGACAGACACUAAUGUGGACACACUCAUUCAGAGGAGAGAAACACCCUCGAGCUAGGGCAAAGGGGAGAUGAGAGACGAAGAAGGAGCUGCCCGGAAAAGAAGAGGAGCUGACCGGCGAAGACGAAGAUGACCGGAGUUGCCACGUCGGAUGAAGCUUAGCGUAGCAAGCAAGUUUUUUUUUUCCAUUUUUUUCCUUUUUC
RNAcentral lists this long non-coding RNA (303 nucleotides) under Vigna radiata. Its description in RNAcentral is "long non-coding RNA (VRAD_LNC000752)". The record is from RNAcentral. Lineage: Eukaryota; Viridiplantae; Streptophyta; Magnoliopsida; Fabales; Fabaceae.